AAGUAAAAAGUCGUAACAAGGUUUCCGUAGGUGAACCUGCGGAAGGAUCAUUAUUGAAAUUAUAGGCAAAGGUUGUAGCUGGCCUCUCGGGGCAUGUGCACGCCUGAGCCCCUCAAUCCACACACACCUGUGAACCAAUUGUAAGGGCCCCCUGAAAAGGGCCUUUACGUCUUAUUCAUCAACCCAUUGCAUGUCUCAGAAUGUAAACAUAUGUCCUCGCCUUAAAAAGCGUUGAUAAACUUAUACAACUUUCAACAACGGAUCUCUUGGCUCUCGCAUCGAUGAAGAACGCAGCGAAAUGCGAUAAGUAAUGUGAAUUGCAGAUUUUCAGUGAAUCAUCGAAUCUUUGAACGCACCUUGCGCUCCUUGGUAUUCCGAGGAGCAUGCCUGUUUGAGUGUCAUUAAAUUCUCAACUCCGAUCGAUUUGUUUCGACCUCGGAGCUUGGACUUUGGAGUGUGCUGGCGUCGGUCGGCUCCUCUCAAAUGCAUCAGCGGAAUCUAACGUUUCGGACGUCAGUGUGAUAAUCACGUUGCGCUGUCAACCGAUCCUGAAAGGCCCGCUCAUAAUGGUCUUCGGACAACUUCAUAUCAAAUUUGACCUCAAAUCAGGUAGGACUACCCGCUGAACUUAAGCAUAUCAAUAAGCGGAGGAAAAGAAACUAACAAGGAUUCCCCUAGUAACUGCGAGUGAAGCGGGAAAAGCUCAAAUUUAAAAUCUGGCGGUCUUGCGGCCGUCCGAGUUGUAAUCUGGAGAAGCGUCUAUCCGCGCCGGACCGUGUACAAGUCUUCUGGAAGGGAGCGUCGUAGAGGGUGAGAAUCCCGUCUUUGACACGGACAACCGGUGCUUUUGUGAUGCGCUCUCGAAGAGUCGAGUUGUUUGGGAAUGCAGCUCAAAAUGGGUGGUAAAUUCCAUCUAAAGCUAAAUAUUGGCGAGAGACCGAUAGCGAACAAGUACCGUGAGGGAAAGAUGAAAAGCA
Molecule: unclassified non-coding RNA, 977 nt
Filed under: Piloderma bicolor
Lineage: Eukaryota; Fungi; Basidiomycota; Agaricomycetes; Atheliales; Atheliaceae
Description: sequence contains 18S rRNA gene, ITS1, 5.8S rRNA gene, ITS2, 28S rRNA gene
Rfam family: Eukaryotic large subunit ribosomal RNA (bases 596-977)
Source: RNAcentral